Rhododendron vialii is the source of this 478-nucleotide long non-coding RNA. RefSeq lists it as uncharacterized. The record is from RefSeq and is a predicted model, not a curated record. NCBI's taxonomy places the organism in Eukaryota, Viridiplantae, Streptophyta, Magnoliopsida, Ericales, Ericaceae. The transcript is spliced from 2 exons.
UUUUCUCCUCAAUUAUAAUUCUCUCUUUUCUCUCACAGUAAACACAACACACACCCACGCCACUCUCUCAUCUCUCCCACGGCUUCUCUCUCUCUCUCUCUCAUCAAAUUUCUUCCCCAAAUCUCAAAUUAACCAAGGGAUCUUGGAGUAUUAUUCUCCUAGAGUCGAGUUCUAGCCUUUGAUCGCGUUGGAAAGCUCGGAGGAGGUGUUUUCGGGAGAGGUUUUGCCUGGAGAUUCUUGGGGUUUUAAUUUCAACCUUCGAGGUACUCGCCAUGGCACUUAGCUUGGAUUGCAUGGAGUGCACAUUGAGACGUCUCUUGGGAGCUUCAUUGGAAUUAUUAAGGAGUUGUUUAUCAUCUAGUCUAAUUCAUGUUGUGUACUUCACCUGCAAUUGAAUGUAGUAUCUUUUGGUUUGAACAUAUGUAAAGCUAUGUAUAAACUCAUCUCUUUGAUUAUUGUGAAGCCCUUUUUAAUGGAA